This 1343-nucleotide ribosomal RNA is filed under the name uncultured bacterium. Its description in RNAcentral is "16S ribosomal RNA". It matches the Rfam family "Bacterial small subunit ribosomal RNA", at positions 28 to 1378 of the family's 1533-position model. The record is from RNAcentral.
GACGAACGCUGGCGGCGUGCUUAACACAUGCAAGUCGAACGGAAAGGCCCUGCUUUUGUGGGGUGCUCGAGUGGCGAACGGGUGAGUAACACGUGAGUAACCUGCCCUUGACUUUGGGAUAACUUCAGGAAACUGGGGCUAAUACCGGAUAGGAGCUCCUGCUGCAUGGUGGGGGUUGGAAAGUUUCGGCGGUUGGGGAUGGACUCGCGGCUUAUCAGCUUGUUGGUGGGGUAGUGGCUUACCAAGGCUUUGACGGGUAGCCGGCCUGAGAGGGUGACCGGCCACAUUGGGACUGAGAUACGGCCCAGACUCCUACGGGAGGCAGCAGUGGGGAAUAUUGCACAAUGGGCGGAAGCCUGAUGCAGCAACGCCGCGUGCGGGAUGACGGCCUUCGGGUUGUAAACCGCUUUCGCCUGUGACGAAGCGUGAGUGACGGUAAUGGGUAAAGAAGCACCGGCUAACUACGUGCCAGCAGCCGCGGUGAUACGUAGGGUGCGAGCGUUGUCCGGAUUUAUUGGGCGUAAAGGGCUCGUAGGUGGUUGAUCGCGUCGGAAGUGUAGUCUUGGGGCUUAACCCUGAGCGUGCUUUCGAUACGGGUUGACUUGAGGAAGGUAGGGGAGAAUGGAAUUCCUGGUGGAGCGGUGGAAUGCGCAGAUAUCAGGAGGAACACCAGUGGCGAAGGCGGUUCUCUGGGCCUUUCCUGACGCUGAGGAGCGAAAGCGUGGGGAGCGAACAGGCUUAGAUACCCUGGUAGUCCACGCUGUAAACGGUGGGUACUAGGUGUGGGGUCCAUUCCACGGGUUCCGUGCCGUAGCUAACGCUUUAAGUACCCCGCCUGGGGAGUACGGCCGCAAGGCUAAAACUCAAAGGAAUUGACGGGGCCCCGCACAAGCGGGGGAGCAUGCGGAUUAAUUCGAUGCAACGCGUAGAACCUUACCUGGGUUUGACAUGGAUCGGGAGUGCUCAGAGAUGGGUGUGCCUCUUUUGGGGUCGGUUCACAGGUGGUGCAUGCCUGUCGUCAGCUCGUGUCGUGAGAUGUUGGGUUAAGUCCCGCAACGAGCGCAACCCUUGUUCACUGUUGCCAGCACGUUAUGGUGGGGACUCAGUGGAGACCGCCGGGGUCAACUCGGAGGAAGGUGGGGAUGACGUCAAGUCCUCAUGCCCCUUAUGUCCAGGGCUUCACGCAUGCUACAAUGGCUGGUACAGAGAGUGGCGAGCCUGUGAGGGUGAGCGAAUCUCGGAAAGCCGGUCUCAGUUCGGAUUGGGGUCUGCAACUCGACCUCAUGAAGUCGGAGUCGCUAGUAAUCGCAGAUCAGCAACGCUGCGGUGAAUACGUUCCCGGG